RNAcentral lists this small RNA (233 nucleotides) under Mus caroli (Ryukyu mouse). RNAcentral describes it as "sRNA (MGP_CAROLIEiJ_G0008540.1)". The stretch from base 1 to 181 matches the Rfam family "7SK RNA". From Rfam's summary of the family: 7SK was discovered as an abundant small nuclear RNA in the mid-70s but a possible function has only recently been suggested. Two independent studies have found that 7SK RNA binds the CDK9/cyclin T complex (known as elongation factor P-TEFb). The record is from RNAcentral. Lineage: Eukaryota; Metazoa; Chordata; Mammalia; Rodentia; Muridae.
AGACUGUGGGUAAUCAGGCCACAACAUCUGCCACUCUACUGAAUGUUAGCAUUGAUUCAGAGUCUAGCUGGCCAGGUGAGUAGCCCUUUUCUUCCUCACUGCUCUGUGUGUACCCUUCCUGAAGCUGCAAGCUAAGUGGAAGAGAACAAACUUCCUCCUUUGUGGUGGCUUGAAUAGGGAUGUCCCUCCCACACACACACACCCCAGACUCAAGCAUUUGAAUGCUAGGUGUG